CCUUUGGUAGUCUAGUUGGUUAUGGCGUUCGGCUGUAAUUGAAGAAUGAUUAUUGUUUACCGAAAAGUCACCGGUUCGAUUCCGGUCCGAGGGA
Non-coding RNA from Hypoxylon sp. CI-4A, 94 nucleotides. Lineage: Eukaryota; Fungi; Ascomycota; Sordariomycetes; Xylariales; Hypoxylaceae. The record is from the annotation of a GenBank genome assembly.